Molecule: ribosomal RNA, 420 nt
Filed under: bacterium
Lineage: Bacteria
Description: partial 16S ribosomal RNA
Rfam family: Bacterial small subunit ribosomal RNA
Source: RNAcentral
UGGGGGAUAUUGCACAAUGGGCGAAAGCCUGAUGCAGCGACGCCGCGUGGGGGAUGAAGGCUUUCGGGUUGUAAACCUCUUUCGCUAUCGAACAAGGCCCGCUUAGGGUGGGUUGAGGGUAGGUGGAGAAGAAGCGCCGGCUAACUACGUGCCAGCAGCCGCGGUAAUACGUAGGGCGCGAGCGUUGUCCGGAAUUAUUGGGCGUAAAGGGCUUGUAGGCGGCUUGUUGCGCCUGCUGUGAAAACGCGGGGCUUAACUUCGCGCGUGCAGUGGGUAAGGGCAGGCUUGAGUGUGGUAGAGGUGACUGGAAUUCCAGGUGUAGCGGUGGAAUGCGCAGAUAUCUGGAGGAACACCGAUGGCGAAGGCAGGUCACUGGGCCAUUACUGACGCUGAGGAGCGAAAGCAUGGGUAGCGAACAGG